Molecule: ribosomal RNA, 471 nt
Filed under: uncultured organism
Description: partial 16S ribosomal RNA
Rfam family: Bacterial small subunit ribosomal RNA
Source: RNAcentral
ACUCCUGCGGGAGGCAGCAGUGGGGAAUAUUGCACAAUGUGCGCAAGCCUGAUGCAGCCAUGCCGCGUGUAUGAAGAAGGCCUUCGGGUUGUAAAGUACUUUCAGCGGGGAGGAAGGCGAUAAGGUUAAUAACCUUGUCGAUUGACGUUACCCGCAGAAGAAGCACCGGCUAACUCCGUGCCAGCAGCCGCGGUAAUACGGAGGGUGCAAGCGUUAAUCGGAAUUACUGGGCGUAAAGCGCACGCAGGCGGUCUGUCAAGUCGGAUGUGAAAUCCCCGGGCUCAACCUGGGAACUGCAUUCGAAACUGGCAGGCUAGAGUCUUGUAGAGGGGGGUAGAAUUCCAGGUGUAGCGGUGAAAUGCGUAGAGAUCUGGAGGAAUACCGGUGGCGAAGGCGGCCCCCUGGACAAAGACUGACGCUCAGGUGCGAAAGCGUGGGGAGCAAACAGGAUUAGAUACCCGUGUAGUCCCA